Non-coding RNA from Cyanistes caeruleus (blue tit), 1168 nucleotides. The record is from RefSeq and is a predicted model, not a curated record. NCBI's taxonomy places the organism in Eukaryota, Metazoa, Chordata, Aves, Passeriformes, Paridae.
UUUACAUCUAUAGAAAUGCCCUUCAACAAGAAGGACCCUGCUUUGCUUAUGAAUACUCGGAUUCAUUCCUGGCAUGAAUUGUCUCUCCAGAAUAAAGCAGGAGAUUAACUAUUGGAUUUGUGGUGAAGUUGUACCUGUCCCAAGUGUUUUUCUGUUAGAUUCCAUGCAAUAUGACCCCAUGCACUGCAAUAUUUCUUGGGAGAAGCGUCACAGACAGCAUCCUGGCAGUUACUGCAGCAGUUGUUCAUCUCCAUGAAAAACAUCCAGGCCAGUUGUAGGACAGAAGACAUUAUUUAACAUCUCAGAGAAUGCAGCAAAUAUGGGCAGAAAAGAGGGAAGAGGUGGAAGAUAGAAAGAGAGGAGCUAGUGGAGCUUUCCAGAGCUUUCCCUUGCCUGAUUGCCGAUUUAUACAUGGCCUGCUUCUCCCUUUUGUUUUUACAAUGUGCUUUUAAAAAAGAAUGAAUAAAGGCAGCUCUGCACAUCUUUUCUUAUCUUCCUUCUAGAAACAAAUAUGUCCAAAAGCUUGGCAACAGUAGUCCAAAGAUAAAUCACCUUGUUUUACAGGACUUUGCAGAACCAGCUGCUAACUAAUGGUCAGUUUGAUAGAACCAUUAAUGGGAAAAUCCCAUUUACUACCAAGAAUUCAGGAAAACUUUUUCAUCAGAUAUGGUGCAGAGUGCAUUUUAUUGCAAAAUAUCUUUGUCCUUAAUGAAGCAGGGACAAUAUUGCAAACAACUGGUAUUCCAAUUGCUAAUAAAAAAUUGUCUUGGGGAUCAAAAUCAGAGAUAAAUAUGUAGGUAUUCAUAUUAACCAGCUUCUGGCAGCAUAACAGAGUUGCCACAAACAACAUCAAACUCAGUAUAUCCAGGGAACCUGUGUCAAGAAAAUAAUUCCAUUUUAAAAUAGCAGAUAUCACAUCUUCAUCACUGAAAUGUCAAAAUAUUUGAACUAAGAAAAUGUAAAUAUUAAUGGAUUAAACUAACCUGCCAAGUUGCAGUUGGAGAGCAUUCCAAGUAGGAAGAUGGUGAGUUUUACCAAAAAGUAAAAGCUUGAAUUAUGGACUUUUAAAAAUUUGUUUGUUCAAAACUGAAGUUUUGUGCCAUGUGUAAUCAAUUUCUGGUUGUCUUUCAUUGCACUAAAGUACUAGGAAAAUUUCUGUCAGCAUUAA